AUCAUUUAAAGAAAGCGUAAUAGCUCACUGGUCGAGUCGGCCUGCGCGGAAGAUGUAACGGGGCUAAGUAGUAAACCGAAGCUGCGGCAAUGCACUUUGUGCAUUGGGUAGGGGAGCGUUCUGUAAGCGGUUGAAGGUGUGUGGUAACGCAGGGGCAGGGUAAGUCGACCCCUAAGGCGAGGCCGAAAGGCGUAGUCGAUGGGAAACGGGUUAAUAUUCCCGUACUUCUUACAAUUGCGAUGGGGGGACGGAGAAGGCUAGGUGGGCCUGGCGACGGUUGUCCAGGUUCAAGUGCG
Molecule: ribosomal RNA, 296 nt
Filed under: Vibrio parahaemolyticus
Lineage: Bacteria; Pseudomonadati; Pseudomonadota; Gammaproteobacteria; Vibrionales; Vibrionaceae
Description: partial 23S ribosomal RNA
Rfam family: Bacterial large subunit ribosomal RNA
Source: RNAcentral